Molecule: ribosomal RNA, 702 nt
Filed under: Exiguobacterium acetylicum
Lineage: Bacteria; Bacillati; Bacillota; Bacilli; Caryophanales
Description: bacterial SSU rRNA
Rfam family: Bacterial small subunit ribosomal RNA
Source: RNAcentral
UUGGGAUAACUCCGAGAAAUCGGAGCUAAUACCGGAUAGUUCAACGGACCGCAUGGUCCGCUGAUGAAAGGCGCUUCGGCGUCACCUUGAGAUGGCCUUGCGGUGCAUUAGCUAGUUGGUGAGGUAACGGCCCACCAAGGCGACGAUGCAUAGCCGACCUGAGAGGGUGAUCGGCCACACUGGGACUGAGACACGGCCCAGACUCCUACGGGAGGCAGCAGUAGGGAAUCUUCCACAAUGGACGAAAGUCUGAUGGAGCAACGCCGCGUGAGUGAUGAAGGUUUUCGGAUCGUAAAACUCUGUUGUAAGGGAAGAACACGUACGAGAGGUAAUGCUCGUACCUUGACGGUACCUUACGAGAAAGCCACGGCUAACUACGUGCCAGCAGCCGCGGUAAUACGUAGGUGGCAAGCGUUGUCCGGAAUUAUUGGGCGUAAAGCGCGCGCAGGCGGCCUUUUAAGUCUGAUGUGAAAGCCCCCGGCUCAACCGGGGAGGGCCAUUGGAAACUGGAAGGCUUGAGUACAGAAGAGAAGAGUGGAAUUCCACGUGUAGCGGUGNAAUGCGUAGAGAUGUGGAGGAACACCAGUGGCGAAGGCGACUCUUUGGUCUGUUACUGACGCUGAGGCGCGAAAGCGUGGGGAGCAUACAGGAUUAGAUACCCUGGUAGUCCACGCCGUAAACGAUGAGUGCUNAGGUGUUGGG